Molecule: ribosomal RNA, 253 nt
Filed under: uncultured bacterium
Lineage: Bacteria
Description: partial 16S ribosomal RNA
Rfam family: Bacterial small subunit ribosomal RNA
Source: RNAcentral
UACGUAGGUGGCAAGCGUUGUCCGGAAUUAUUGGGCGUAAAGCGCGCGCAGGCGGCCUCUUAAGUCUGAUGUGAAAGCCCCCGGCUCAACGGGGGAGGGCCAUUGGAAACUGGGAGGCUUGAGUAUAGGAGAGAAGAGUGGAAUUCCACGUGUAGCGGUGAAAUGCGUAGAGAUGUGGAGGAACACCAGUGGCGAAGGCGACUCUUUGGCCUAUAACUGACGCUGAGGCGCGAAAGCGUGGGGAGCAAACAGG